This 206-nucleotide unclassified non-coding RNA is filed under the name Hevea brasiliensis (rubber tree). Lineage: Eukaryota; Viridiplantae; Streptophyta; Magnoliopsida; Malpighiales; Euphorbiaceae. The record is from RNAcentral.
AUGUUUUUCUAAAAGAUGUUUGGAAAGAAUACACUGGAUGGCCAUUGAACACCAUGGAACAGCAAUACAAGUUCAUGGUUAAACAUGUUCAGCUUUGGAGGGUUGCAUUUCACGGGACAUCCCCUCGUUGGAUACACUCUGCUUAUCUUGCUGCCAUUGCCGCCUUUUACGCCAAGGAGGUGGAGGCUGGCCUGAUGGAGUACAAG